GUCGAACGAACCUUCGGGUUAGUGGCGGACGGGUGAGUAACGCGUGGGAACCUGCCCUCAGGAGGGGGAUAACGGUUGGAAACGGCCGCUAAUACCCCAUAUGCCGAGAGGUGAAAUGAAUUUCGCCUGAGGAUGGGCCCGCGUCUGAUUAGCUAGUUGGUGGGGUAAGAGCCUACCAAGGCGACGAUCAGUAGCUGGUCUGAGAGGAUGAUCAGCCACACUGGGACUGAGACACGGCCCAGACUCCUACGGGAGGCAGCAGUGGGGAAUUUUCCGCAAUGGGCGAAAGCCUGACGGAGCAACGCCGCGUGAGGGAUGAAGGCCUCUGGGCUGUAAACCUCUUUUCUCAAGGAAGAAGACCUGACGGUACUUGAGGAAUAAGCCACGGCUAAUUCCGUGCCAGCAGCCGCGGUAAUACGGGAGUGGCAAGCGUUAUCCGGAAUUAUUGGGCGUAAAGCGUCCGCAGGUGGCCCUGUAAGUCUGUCGUUAAAGCGUGGAGCUUAACUCCAUUUAAGCGAUGGAAACUACAGGGCUAGAGUGUGGUAGGGGCAGAGGGAAUUCCCGGUGUAGCGGUGAAAUGCGUAGAUAUCGGGAAGAACACCAGUGGCGAAGGCGCUCUGCUGGGCCAUCACUGACACUCAUGGACGAAAGCCAGGGGAGCGAAAGGGAUUAGAUACCCCUGUAGUCCUGGCCGUAAACGAUGAACACUAGGUGUCGGGGGAAUCGACCCCCUCGGUGUCGUAGCCAACGCGUUAAGUGUUCCGCCUGGGGAGUACGCACGCAAGUGUGAAACUCAAAGGAAUUGACGGGGGCCCGCACAAGCGGUGGAGUAUGUGGUUUAAUUCGAUGCAACGCGAAGAACCUUACCAGGGUUUGACAUCCUGCGAAUCCCUUGGAAACGAGGGAGUGCCUUCGGGAGCGCAGAGACAUGUGGUGCAUGGCUGUCGUCAGCUCGUGUCGUGAGAUGUUGGGUUAAGUCCCGCAACGAGCGCAACCCACGUCGUUAGUUGCCAGCAUUCAGUUGGGCACUCUAGCGAGACCGCCGGUGAUAAACCGGAGGAAGGUGUGGAUGACGUCAAGUCAUCAUGCCCCUUACAUCCUGGGCUACACACGUACUACAAUGCUACGGACAAAGGGCAGCGAUCCCGCGAGGGCUAGCAAAUCCCAUAAACCGUGGCUCAGUUCAGAUCGUAGGCUGCAACUCGCCUACGUGAAGGAGGAAUCGCUAGUAAUCGCAGGUCAGCAUACUGCGGUGAAUACGUUCCCGGGCCUUGUACACACCGCCCGUCACACCAUGGAAGUUGGCCACGCCCGAAGUCGUUACUCCAACCCUUGUGGAGGAGGACGCCGAAGGUGGGGCUGAUGACUGGGGUGAAGUCGGAACAAGGUA
This 1390-nucleotide ribosomal RNA is filed under the name metagenome. RNAcentral describes it as "bacterial SSU rRNA". It matches the Rfam family "Bacterial small subunit ribosomal RNA". The record is from RNAcentral.